This 314-nucleotide long non-coding RNA is filed under the name Vigna radiata. RNAcentral describes it as "long non-coding RNA (VRAD_LNC000204)". Lineage: Eukaryota; Viridiplantae; Streptophyta; Magnoliopsida; Fabales; Fabaceae. The record is from RNAcentral.
CCCCACAUACUGUGGCUGAAAUUGGUUGGGAGGUAUUGGAGCAUAUGCAGGGUUUGAGGCCACAGGAGGAGGAGCCUUGUAAACACUUGGAGUCACCUCAGGUAUAGUAGGGCUAACUGAUUUGGUGGGAUAGAUAGGUGGAGUACCAUCCUUGUAUGCUGCUGAGGUAACAGCACUUUGUGGUAUUAGGGUUCUGCCUGAGAGUAACACAUUUGGGUCACCCAUGUUGUGCUGCAAGGCCAUGUUGUAUGGUUGUGUUACUUGUGUGGGUCCAACAGGCAUCACAUAAACUGGGUACUGUUGCUGACCAAUUG